RNAcentral lists this transfer RNA (72 nucleotides) under Capra hircus (goat). It matches the Rfam family "tRNA". From Rfam's summary of the family: Transfer RNA (tRNA) molecules are approximately 80 nucleotides in length. RNAcentral also lists the same sequence under 1 other name. The record is from Rfam by way of RNAcentral. Lineage: Eukaryota; Metazoa; Chordata; Mammalia; Artiodactyla; Bovidae.
UCCAUGCUGGCUCAGAUGGUACAGAAUCUGUCUGCAAAGUAGGAAACCCAGGUUCAAUCCCUGGGUGGGAAA